UACGAGUGCCCCAAGCGUUAUCCGGAAUCAUUGGGCGUAAAGGGUGUGUAGGUGGCACGAUUAGUCUUCUGUAAAAUACCCGGGCUUAACCUGGGACCUGCAGGGGAAACGGUCGAGCUAGAGGGUGCGAGAGGUGAAUGGAACUCAUGGAGUAGGGGUGAAAUACGUAGAUAUCUGGAGGAACACCGGUGGCGAAGGCGGCGAUCUGGCCCAACAUUGACACUGAGACCCGAAAGCGUGGGGAUCAAAC
Molecule: ribosomal RNA, 250 nt
Filed under: uncultured bacterium
Lineage: Bacteria
Description: partial 16S ribosomal RNA
Rfam family: Bacterial small subunit ribosomal RNA
Source: RNAcentral